This 468-nucleotide ribosomal RNA is filed under the name uncultured bacterium. Its description in RNAcentral is "partial 16S ribosomal RNA". It matches the Rfam family "Bacterial small subunit ribosomal RNA", at positions 28 to 507 of the family's 1533-position model. The record is from RNAcentral.
GACGAACGCUGGCGGCGUGCUUAACACAUGCAAGUCGAACGGAAAGGCCCUGCUUUUGUGGGGUGCUCGAGUGGCGAACGGGUGAGUAACACGUGAGUAACCUGCCCUUGACUUUGGGAUAACUUCAGGAAACUGGGGCUAAUACCGGAUAGGAGCUCCUGCUGCAUGGUGGGGGUUGGAAAGUUUCGGCGGUUGGGGGUGGACUCGCGGCUUAUCAGCUUGUUGGUGGGGUAGUGGCUUACCAAGGCUUUGACGGGUAGCCGGCCUGCGAGGGUGACCGGCCACAUUGGGCCUGAGCUACUGCCCAGACUCCUACGGGAGGCAGCAGUGGGGAAUAUUGCACAAUGGGCGGAAGCCUGAUGCAGCAACGCCGCGUGCGGGAUGACGGCCUUCGGUUUGUAAACCGCUUUCGCCUGUGACGAAGCGUGAGUGACGGUAAUGGGUAAAGAAGCACCGGCUAACUACGUG